RNAcentral lists this unclassified non-coding RNA (391 nucleotides) under soil metagenome. RNAcentral describes it as "partial contains 5.8S ribosomal RNA, internal transcribed spacer 2, and large subunit ribosomal RNA". The stretch from base 1 to 122 matches the Rfam family "5.8S ribosomal RNA", at positions 35 to 154 of the family's 154-position model. The record is from RNAcentral.
GAUGAAGAACGUAGCGAAAUGCGAUACUUGGUGUGAAUUGCAGAAUCCCGUGAACCAUCGAGUCUUUGAACGCAAGUUGCGCCCGAAGCCAUUAGGCCGAGGGCACGCCUGCCUGGGCGUCACACGUCGUUGCCCCCCCAUCUACUCCUUCGGGAUUGCGGGGGGCGGAUGAUGGCCUCCCGUGCGCCUCGCCGCGCGGUUGGCAUAAAUGCCAAGUCCUCGGCGACGCACGCCACGACAAUCGGUGGUUGCGAAACCUCGGUUGCCCGUCGUGCGCGGUCGUCGCGCAUCGAGGGCUCGAAAAAAUUGCCGGGUUCCGGCUCGGCUUUCAACGCGACCCCAGGUCAGGCGGGGUUACCCGCUGAAUUUAAGCAUAUCAAUAAGCGGAGGA